GACGAACGCUGGCGGCGUGCUUAACACAUGCAAGUCGAACGGAAAGGCCCUGCUUUUGUGGGGUGCUCGAUUGGCGAACGGGUGAGUAACACGUGAGUAACCUGCCCUUGACUUUGGGAUAACUUCAGGAAACUGGGGCUAAUACCGGAUAGGAGCUCCUGCUGCAUGGUGGGGGUUGGAAAGUGUCGGCGGUUGGGGCUGGACUCGCGGCUUAUCAGCUUGUUGGUGGGGUAGUGGCUUACCAAGGCUUUGACGGGUAGCCGGCCUGAGAGGGUGACCGGCCACAUUGGGACUGAGAUACGGCCCAGAAUCCUACGGGAGGCAGCAGUGGGGAAUAUUGCACAAUGGGCGGAAGCCUGAUGCAGCAACGCCGCGUGCGGGAUGACGGCCUUCGGGUUGUAAACCGCUUUCGCCUGUGACGAAGCGUGAGUGACGGUAAUGGGUAAAGAAGCACCGGCUAACUACGUG
This 468-nucleotide ribosomal RNA is filed under the name uncultured bacterium. Its description in RNAcentral is "partial 16S ribosomal RNA". It matches the Rfam family "Bacterial small subunit ribosomal RNA", at positions 28 to 507 of the family's 1533-position model. The record is from RNAcentral.